UUGCAAUGAUGACCAUCUUAGGACACCUUUGGAGUAUAUAAUGAAAACAAACACUAUAAAUAUCUGAGCAGC
Molecule: small nucleolar RNA, 72 nt
Organism: Sardina pilchardus (European sardine)
Lineage: Eukaryota; Metazoa; Chordata; Actinopteri; Clupeiformes; Clupeidae
Product: small nucleolar RNA SNORD58
Exons: 1
Source: RefSeq, a predicted model, not a curated record